UUGACUAAAGCAAUUGACAAUCGUUUCAUUGCUCGCACCGUGAUUAAUUCACUCUAGAGCAAACUAAAAACAUACGUCCAGCUUUUAUUGUUUUGCCAGACCAAAAAAAAAAAGAAAACAGGUAACUGGUGGCUGGCACAGCAGAAUAUGUAAGCUGUUACCGGCGUUAUCUUGUUUUUCACCAUAACAUAGUCUUGUCUUUCAACAGCUCGUUUCAGCUGUCUGCCGCCCAGCGGCCUAAAAGAUUGUCUUUAACAGUAGAGGACCCCAAGGGCGAAGAAGUGGAGGGCAAAGAUAAAGCGGGAGAAAAGGAAAGAAAAUCACCUUCCAGUGAAGAUGAGGAUGACGAAGUUAUCAGCCCAUCGGAAGAUUUGUCAAAGCCUUUUGGCGAAGACGAAAACAAGUCUGAGGGAGGGGAAGAUGAGGAGCUGGUUGGUCGCUACUUUGAAAGCCUGGGUACCAGCUCUCCGACGCAGAAAGUGGACGAGCAGCCAGCCGAGCCACCGCCCCUGGACACGGAAAAACUGAUGCGAACCAGGCUGAGUAUCUCAGCCAGGUUUUUGUCUCGAUCGCAUCAACCUGGACGGGUUGGCUCGAUAUCAACAAACCUGGAUGAAGAAAAAGGCGACCAUCGUGCAGAUGAUGUAAGUUUUCAUCUUU
Orbicella faveolata is the source of this 660-nucleotide long non-coding RNA. The record is from RefSeq and is a predicted model, not a curated record. NCBI's taxonomy places the organism in Eukaryota, Metazoa, Cnidaria, Anthozoa, Scleractinia, Merulinidae.